RNAcentral lists this ribosomal RNA (345 nucleotides) under uncultured Methanosaeta sp. Its description in RNAcentral is "bacterial SSU rRNA". It matches the Rfam family "Archaeal small subunit ribosomal RNA", at positions 994 to 1338 of the family's 1478-position model. Lineage: Archaea; Methanobacteriati; Methanobacteriota; Methanomicrobia; Methanotrichales; Methanotrichaceae. The record is from RNAcentral.
AUGGCCGUCGUCAGUUCGUACUGUGAAGCAUCCUGUUAAGUCAGGCAACGAGCGAGACCCACGCCCACAGUUGCCAGCGUACUCUCUGGAGUGACGGGUACACUGUGGGGACCGCCGCUGCUAAAGCGGAGGAAGGAAUGGGCAACGGUAGGUCAGUAUGCCCCGAAUAUCCCGGGCUACACGCGAGCUACAAUGGUUGGUACAAUGGGUAUCUACCCCGAAAGGGGACGGGAAUCUCCUAAAACCAAUCUUAGUUCGGAUUGAGGGCUGCAACUCGCCCUCAUGAAGCUGGAAUCCGUAGUAAUCGCGUUUCAACAGAACGCGGUGAAUACGUCCCUGCUCCUU